GAUGAAGAACGCAUCGAAAUGCGAUAAGUAGUGUGAAUUGCAGAAUUCAGUGAAUCAUCGAAUCUUUGAACGCACAUUGCGCCCUUUGGUAUUCCAAAGGGCAUGCCUGUUCGAGCGUCAUUUGUACCCUCAAGCUUUGCUUGGUGUUGGGCGUCUUGUCUCUAGCUUUGCUGGAGACUCGCCUUAAAGUAAUUGGCAGCCGGCCUACUGGUUUCGGAGCGCAGCACAAGUCGCACUCUCUAUCAGCAAAGGUCUAGCAUCCAUUAAGCCUUUUUUUCAACUUUUGACCUCGGAUCAGGUAGGGAUACCCGCUGAACUUAAGCAUAUCAAUAAGGGAGGA
This 340-nucleotide unclassified non-coding RNA is filed under the name soil metagenome. RNAcentral's name for it is "partial contains 5.8S ribosomal RNA, internal transcribed spacer 2, and large subunit ribosomal RNA". The stretch from base 1 to 120 matches the Rfam family "5.8S ribosomal RNA", at positions 35 to 154 of the family's 154-position model. The record is from RNAcentral.